UACUAAUUAAAUUCCACUUGACUGGCCCGGUCCGCCAGUUUGAUCCUGUCUACUCCUAUGUCGGAAAGUUCAUUUGACGCAACAUAUUCUACAUAUUUAGAAUCAAAAUCAAUGACCAUCUGUUAUGUCGACAUACGCCAGUGCAAACUUUUUAGCCAACAGGUCAAUAAGAAGUGUCCGACCAUUGGGAGUCCUACAUCAGAGCCUCAAAAGACUUAGCACUUCGCAUUAUCAGAGCCGCAUGAGUAAAAUUACGGAACCCAAAUUUCAUGGGCUACCACAGAAGUCGGAAUCGCCAAUGGAGUCACUAAGCGAACAUGAACUUCCAGUU
Molecule: long non-coding RNA, 331 nt
Organism: Rhodamnia argentea
Lineage: Eukaryota; Viridiplantae; Streptophyta; Magnoliopsida; Myrtales; Myrtaceae
Exons: 2
Source: RefSeq, a predicted model, not a curated record